RNAcentral lists this ribosomal RNA (253 nucleotides) under uncultured bacterium. RNAcentral describes it as "partial 16S ribosomal RNA". It matches the Rfam family "Bacterial small subunit ribosomal RNA", at positions 524 to 776 of the family's 1533-position model. The record is from RNAcentral.
UACGUAGGGCGCAAGCGUUGUCCGGAAUUAUUGGGCGUAAAGAGCUCGUAGGCGGCUUGUCACGUCGGGUGUGAAAGCCCGGGGCUUAACCCCGGGUCUGCAUUCGAUACGGGCAGGCUGGAGUGUGGUAGGGGAGAUCGGAAUUCCUGGUGUAGCGGUGAAAUGCGCAGAUAUCAGGAGGAACACCGGUGGCGAAGGCGGAUCUCUGGGCCAUUACUGACGCUGAGGAGCGAUAGCGUGGGGAGCGAACAGG